GUCUACGGCCAUACCACCCUGAACGCGCCCGAUCUCGUAUGAUCUCGGAAGCUAAGCAGGGUCGGGCCUGGUUAGUACUUGGAUGGGAGAUAUAUAGGUAUAAAUCACAGAAAAAGGAGCUGAAUUUG
Molecule: ribosomal RNA, 128 nt
Filed under: Neogale vison (American mink)
Lineage: Eukaryota; Metazoa; Chordata; Mammalia; Carnivora; Mustelidae
Source: RNAcentral